CUUUCAUAUCCAUAAGAUAAUUAAAACGAAGGAGGAUUUUUUUAAACUUUUUUUUUUGAAAUCAGCCAAUGGUUAAUGCAAGAGUUUGGCAGAUGCUUUACUAUUUAAAAAAAAAAAUUAAAAAUCCUCUAAAAUAACCAGAUCUUCUCAAGCCAGGGGACACCAAGACCCCCAAAUGGGUUUCCUCCAGCUUGCGGAUUAUUAAAAACCCGGCAUCUAGUUCGCCCGGAAUCAGUGGUGUGGCCGAUAUCGGUUUUCUGCCAGUUUAACUAGCCUGUUUGUGAAGCAUUACUUCAUAGCCAUUAUUGUCCCAGUAUCCACCUUCUCCCACCCAAACCACAGUCACCAGAAAUAUGGAGGAAGACUACCAUCUUUGAUGCAUCUGAAUCAGUUUCCAGUUGGCCAUUGACACACUUGGCAGAUUGGAAAUAGCUGGAGCAUCAGUUUCCUAAUUCUGAACCAUCUGGAAUUCCACCUGCUCAAAGUUAACAAUAUGGAGCUUGUUAAGCAAUUGUACCAUUUGCAACUUUCUCUUCAGUGGUAAGUGAAAUGUAUUGCACUACUGUGCUGGAGAAGUUUAACUUGCAAUUCAUUUG
Molecule: long non-coding RNA, 596 nt
Filed under: Vombatus ursinus (common wombat)
Lineage: Eukaryota; Metazoa; Chordata; Mammalia; Diprotodontia; Vombatidae
Description: lncRNA (ENSVURG00010008308.1)
Source: RNAcentral